RNAcentral lists this ribosomal RNA (263 nucleotides) under uncultured Eubacteriales bacterium. RNAcentral describes it as "uncultured Clostridiales bacterium partial 16S ribosomal RNA". It matches the Rfam family "Bacterial small subunit ribosomal RNA", at positions 77 to 339 of the family's 1533-position model. The record is from RNAcentral. Lineage: Bacteria; Bacillati; Bacillota; Clostridia; Eubacteriales.
AGCUUGCUCUUCAGAUCGAGUGGCGAACGGGUGAGUAACGCGUGAGGAACCUGCCUUGUACAGGGGGAUAACAGUUAGAAAUAGCUGCUAAUACCGCAUAAGCGCACAGAGCUGCAUGGCUCGGUGUGAAAAACUCCGGUGGUGUGAGAUGGACCCGCGUCUGAUUAGCCAGUUGGCGGGGUAACGGCCCACCAAAGCGACGAUCAGUAGCCGGCCUGAGAGGGUGAACGGCCACAUUGGGACUGAGACACGGCCCAAACUCC